Molecule: ribosomal RNA, 253 nt
Filed under: uncultured bacterium
Lineage: Bacteria
Description: partial 16S ribosomal RNA
Rfam family: Bacterial small subunit ribosomal RNA
Source: RNAcentral
UACGAAGUGUGCAAACGUUGCUCGGAAUCAUUGGGCGUAAAGCGCACGUAGGCGGCCUCAUAAGUCGGAUGUGAAAUCCCUCGGCUCAACCGAGGACGUGCAUACGAAACUGCGAGGCUCGAGUAUGGAAGAGGGUCGCGGAAUUCCCGGUGUAGAGGUGAAAUUCGUAGAUAUCGGGAGGAACACCAGUGGCGAAGGCGGCGACCUGGGCCAAUACUGACGCUGAGGUGCGAAAGCGUGGGGAGCAAACAGG